This 253-nucleotide ribosomal RNA is filed under the name uncultured bacterium. Its description in RNAcentral is "partial 16S ribosomal RNA". It matches the Rfam family "Bacterial small subunit ribosomal RNA", at positions 524 to 776 of the family's 1533-position model. The record is from RNAcentral.
UACGAAGGGGGCUAGCGUUGCUCGGAAUCACUGGGCGUAAAGCGCACGUAGGCGGCUUCUUAAGUCAGGGGUGAAAGCCUGGAGCUCAACCCCAGAACUGCCUUUGAUACUGAGGAGCUUGAGUCCGGGAGAGGUGAGUGGAACUGCGAGUGUAGAGGUGAAAUUCGUAGAUAUUCGCAAGAACACCAGUGGCGAAGGCGGCUCACUGGCCCGGUACUGACGCUGAGGUGCGAAAGCGUGGGGAGCAAACAGG